RNAcentral lists this ribosomal RNA (386 nucleotides) under uncultured bacterium. RNAcentral describes it as "bacterial SSU rRNA". It matches the Rfam family "Bacterial small subunit ribosomal RNA", at positions 28 to 416 of the family's 1533-position model. The record is from RNAcentral.
GAUGAACGCUAGCGGCAGGCUUAACACAUGCAAGUCGAGGGGUAUUGGUUUUCGGACCAAGAGACCGGCGCACGGGUGCGUAACGCGUAUGCAAUCUACCUUUUGCAGAGGGAUAGCCCCAGAGAAAUUUGGAUUAAUACCUCAUAGUAUAGUACUUUGGCAUCAAGGAACUAUUAAAGUCACAACGGCAAAGAUGAGCAUGCGUCCCAUUAGCUAGUUGGUAAGGUAACGGCUUACCAAGGCUACGAUGGGUAGGGGUCCUGAGAGGGAGAUCCCCCACACUGGUACUGAGACACGGACCAGACUCCUACGGGAGGCAGCAGUGGGGGAAUAUUGGACAAUGGGCGAAAGCCUGAUCCAGCAAUGCCGCGUGAGUGAUGAAGGCC